AUACGGAGGAUCCGAGCGUUAUCCGGAUUUAUUGGGUUUAAAGGGAGCGUAGGCGGAUUAUUAAGUCAGUUGUGAAAGUUUGCGGCUCAACCGUAAAAUUGCAGUUGAUACUGGUAGUCUUGAGUGCAGCAGAGGUAGGCGGAAUUCGUGGUGUAGCGGUGAAAUGCUUAGAUAUCACGAAGAACUCCGAUUGCGAAGGCAGCUUACUGGACUGUAACUGACGCUGAUGCUCGAAAGUGUGGGUAUCAAACAGGAUUAGAUACCCUGGUAGUCCACACGGUAAACGAUGAAUACUUGUUUUCGGCGAUAUAAUGUCGGAGGCAAAGCGAAAGCGAUAAGUAUUCCACCUGGGGAGUACGCCGGCAACGGUGAAACUCAAAUGAAUUGACGGGG
RNAcentral lists this ribosomal RNA (393 nucleotides) under uncultured bacterium. RNAcentral's name for it is "partial 16S ribosomal RNA". It matches the Rfam family "Bacterial small subunit ribosomal RNA", at positions 523 to 918 of the family's 1533-position model. The record is from RNAcentral.